AUGGUUCAAACUGCUCAUAAAAGGAGACUGCCAACCAUCGCCUUAAAGCUGGACUUCCAGAAGGCUUUUGAUUCAGUAAGUUGGGACUGCCUUUUUCAGGUUCUGGAAGCCAGAGGUUUUCCCGCAAGAUGGGCACAGUGGAUCAAUGCACUACUAUCCUCGGGAAGUUCUCAAGUGCUUCUCAAUGGAGAGCUUGGG
Molecule: ribosomal RNA, 198 nt
Filed under: Triticum aestivum (bread wheat)
Lineage: Eukaryota; Viridiplantae; Streptophyta; Magnoliopsida; Poales; Poaceae
Description: partial small subunit ribosomal RNA
Source: RNAcentral